Molecule: long non-coding RNA, 1239 nt
Organism: Dermochelys coriacea (leatherback sea turtle)
Lineage: Eukaryota; Metazoa; Chordata; Testudines; Dermochelyidae
Exons: 3
Source: RefSeq, a predicted model, not a curated record
GAACCUGAGUUUCUUUGUAUCUUUAUUGAACCAGCAUGGAAGGAGGACAUUGCUGGACGGUACUCAGACACUUUCAUCAGUUACAGCUGACCAGGAAGCAGGGCAGAGGACGGUGGAACACAGAAAAGUUGGGACUUUGUCCGUUAGGCGAUGGCCAAUCAUACUCCACCUCUACCUCAGAACACAGUUUCCUUCUUGCUGACGAGGGAGGGCCAUCCGCCGUGGGCACGGGAGACUGGGGGUUCGGUCACGUCGUCAGCCAGACUGGCGCCGGUGCAGUCCUCGUAGAAGAGGUGCAGGUAGGAGCGGACCCCGUACCACUUCCCGCGCUCCACAUUGGGCCCCCGGCUGCAGCCGCACAACUGGUUGCGGGCAGGCAUGGGGUCUGGGGAGGAGAUUGAGAACACCCGUCAGGACAUCCCUUCAUGGCUGAUGCUGAGCUCAGGGACUUGAAUGCCUCCAGGAGCGGAGCUAGCCCUGUGCCCCGUGGGCACGGCACGUCGGGGAUACCCACAAGACACGUCCAGGCCCCAUCCUGCAGCCGGAUGCCAGGACACAACUGCAGCCAGACAUUCACAUUCUGCUGAGCACAGUCCUCUCCUGAGCUUUGAGCCAGACCUGGUGAUUGAGAUCCUGUUUGCCACACACACAGUCCUGCAGGCUGCUGAGUGCCCCUCUCCCCUUUUCCAUGUGCGUGUGUGCAUACACAGCACACAGAGGACACAGCGCAGACGCACGCACCUUUAAAGGGUAACUCAACACUUUAUUCUUCUCUCAGCUCCCAGCCUUCCCUGCAAAGCAAACAACAAAUGCGUAAUUUGCUAUUUUAAUGGGAGAAGCAAAUCCCAGGCAUUGUCUCAGGGUGUGAAUGAGCUUUUUCACUAUAUUAAAAACGGGGCAUGUCCCGGAGUUCUGGCACAGUUAAGAGUGGAGGGACUUUGGGGCCGGUGGGUUGUUUUAAGGGAUUCUGUUGGGCGGAGUCGCCGUCAGAGCCUCUGGGACAAAAAGGGCCCUAGUUUCCUCUUCACUCCCCCCUUUCCUUGGGUGGAGGAUAGUACUGGCCCCCAAGGUACCGUCCUGUCAGUAGCUGCUACCCCCGCUGGCCAGCAGAUGUCACGGUGACCUACACAGCAGCAGUCUCGUUUCUUGUCUGUUGGUCUCAUAGAAGCGUGGGGGGACCCUGCCCUGGGCUGCUCUGAGGCUCAGGCAGGUCUGGGGGAUGGUGCCAGAGAAGGAGAA